UUCUGUACCCAAUAAACACUUAUGUAAAUGUUUUAACUUUUUACAUAAUUUAUAUAUAUGUAUAAUACUUGAAGCUUGAGCUAGCGAGCUAGUUGAGAAAUUUAUUCACGUGUGGCAAUAUAAUAAAACGCCAACAGGCUUUAAUAAAUUUUUAAAUACACUUCAGCAGUCUACCAUGAAUAGACUUGACUUUGUUUUUUUUCUCUAGCAAAAUAAAAUAAAAAGAAUUGAGUUAAUAAUUUAGUGAUAACGAUAAUGUGAGCGCAAGGUAACUCAGCUAUUUAGUAUUCAAGACUAAAUUAUUUAAGAAAUGAAUAUUUAUACUCGACGUAGUACCGGUAAAAUAAUGUACUUUAUAUUUGAAUAAUAAAUUAAUUUUCUUGGUGAUGUAUCAUGUUAACGGCCGUAGAUUGACGCAGCCGACUGUGAACUCCAGGCCGGCACACCGUCGGAAAAUCCUGUUUUUCUUGGCAAACUUGAGCCAUCUAUAAAUAAAACAGACAACAGAAGUAAGCCAAACAAAUAAUAUAUUUAAGGAUUACACCAGCAGUUAAAUACCGGGUUUAUUAUUGAUAUAAAUAUAUUACCAAUUGGAGAUACUAUUGAUGCAGCACGAAGUCUCGACGCCUUGGUUUCGCGGAUGCUGGCAGUCUUUUUUCCUACUGAAAAACAACCAGCCAUCAGCGAUUAAAAUUAAUUUUCAUAAUAAACUUUACCAUAAAAUAUAAUUAAAAUUUUUCUUACUAAUACUGUUUGUAGUACUGGUUCUUGGUCUUCUGGCCAGACUGUCAGAUGAGCUGCCCUCAUUAGCAGCCAUCAAAUCAGCAGCUCCAGCUGCUACCAUAUCUAUUAUUGUUAAAAUAAAAUUAAUAAACAGUAUAGAAAUUUAUAUAAAAAUUUUUUUUACGACUUUCACAAUGGCGCGUUGUUUAAAUAAUUAUUAUUUUAAAAUUGAAUAACUAACAAUUAGUGUGUGGUAUUUAAAUGGUAAUUUGAAUGACUGGAAUUAAACUUGUUCCUGGUAUGAAUCAUAGAAAAAUACCAAAGCAUCCUGAUCCCCCACUCCCAGAGUGAAGAGACUGUAAAAUCCUAUCCUACACCAGUACAACAACUUGGUCAAGGCUUUUUUCGUUUAUUUAAUUAUAGGUCUAAACAAUUACUAACCCAUUAAUUUAAUUAUCGUUAUGAUAUCCAGGUUAGACAAUUAUUGAUCCAUUCAUUUGAUAUUUAUUAUUUAAAUUUAAUAUACUUUAGAUUUAUCGAUCAAAUCUCCAAUAUGUCACAUUUGCCGUUCAGGUGAUUGAUAAAUUUAAUUAAAAUAAUAAUAAUGGUAACAAUGAGAGUAAUAGUAAUAAAUAUUUUAUUAUUAUUACUUUUAUUGUUAUUAAUGUUUGAUAACUUACUGAUUUAUUAAAUGACCAGACUUGUCGCCAUAAUAUUUUGUCUUGAUGAAAAAAAAUAAAUAACCAUCAGCUUAUGGGCAACGUUAAUUAUUUAUAAAUAAUAACAGUAAUAAUAAUUAAGUAUUUUUAAAAAAUAAUAACAAUUAAACAUUGACUUGUACUAUCGACUAAAUUGUUAUCACAGGAGUCAUAUUUCGAUGAACUCACUACCACUGGUGAAAGUUAUGUAGC
Microplitis mediator is the source of this 1634-nucleotide long non-coding RNA. RefSeq lists it as uncharacterized. Lineage: Eukaryota; Metazoa; Arthropoda; Insecta; Hymenoptera; Braconidae. The record is from RefSeq and is a predicted model, not a curated record. The transcript is spliced from 2 exons.